This 255-nucleotide long non-coding RNA is filed under the name Lathyrus oleraceus (garden pea). RNAcentral describes it as "Pisum sativum (pea) long non-coding RNA (PSAT_LNC040619)". Lineage: Eukaryota; Viridiplantae; Streptophyta; Magnoliopsida; Fabales; Fabaceae. The record is from RNAcentral.
UUUUUCAGAGAAGGUUACCGCGUGCGUAAAAUUAUCCUCAAUAAACUUUAAAAUAUAUAUACAUUCUUUAAAAGUGUGAGCUGAAUAAACUCUUAGGAUAUUCAAUGUUAUCCUCACCACCUUAAAAUGCUUGACUUGUCACUUUCAUAGUAGACCUAACAAUUCAUGAGCACAUGAUUUCUUUUUAUAUAAUUCUUUCCUAUUUCUGUGCUCCCUUCUUCUAGAUAGUUUCCUUUCCUUAAUUCAGCAUUCCAU